Schizosaccharomyces pombe (fission yeast) is the source of this 918-nucleotide non-coding RNA. The record is from the annotation of a GenBank genome assembly. Lineage: Eukaryota; Fungi; Ascomycota; Schizosaccharomycetes; Schizosaccharomycetales; Schizosaccharomycetaceae.
AGAUGAUUUUUUAUGUACUCAACACCAAGUUCAAUAUCUUUAUAUGGCUUACCACCCCAAUCAAGAGCAAUGGAAUCGGUAAAACGUUGUCCAUAACCUGUAGAUCCAGUAGGAUCAAGAGCAAAUACAAUAAAACCAGCAUUAGCAAAAACUGCAGGAUUCCAGCGCGUUGACCAACUAUCUGUCCAAGAACCUUGAGGUCCCCCGUGUAUAAGCACUGCUACAGGAUAUUUUUUAGAUUUAUCAAAACUUUCGGGCUUUACAAUCCAUGCAUGAAUUCUGUGACCAUGAGUGCCAGGAAACCAAAUUUCUUCAUAAGAAGUUGGCGAUAAUCCGACAUUGUUCUCGAGUAAAACACUUUCGUUUAACGUUUCAACGUUAAUCUUUGCGUAAUAAGGGGGAUUGAUUAAAGAUGACUUCGUAAGCCAUAAGGAAGAAGAUUUAGGGACACUAAUAGAAGAAACAGAGUGUUCUUCUGUCAUUGGGAUAACUUGGUGGUGAAAUAUAGAAACAAAAAACAAAAUUUGCUUCCCAUAAUUCUCAGCAAUAGCAAAAAGACCUGGUUCGCCUCCUUUGAAAACCCCCCAUUCAAUGCUGGAAGGCGAUCGGUCCCAAUGACGAGCAAUGUGCUUUUUAGCGCCUGACUCGGACUCAUAUACCAUUAUUUGAUUUUGAUCGCUUUCGUACUGUGGUGUUUGCAUUUCAAGCCAUGCAAUAUGAUUUCCAUCUUUGGCUAGUCUUGGUGAAGAGCAUGCACCCUUCGCAGUGCUCAAUGACUUCAGAUUCCGAGUGUUCAGAUUAAUCUCGUAAACAACUGUCUUUGUUUGUGUUGCCGGAUUUAAUUUCGGGUCUUUUGCUACAAAGACAAGUUUGUCGUAGUUAGAAUCAAAGUCAGAAAGACCUCCGAAGGGUUCGACA